RNAcentral lists this ribosomal RNA (497 nucleotides) under uncultured bacterium. Its description in RNAcentral is "partial 16S ribosomal RNA". It matches the Rfam family "Bacterial small subunit ribosomal RNA", at positions 28 to 507 of the family's 1533-position model. The record is from RNAcentral.
GACGAACGCUGGCGGCGUGCCUAAUACAUGCAAGUUGAGCGAUGAAGCUUGGUGCUUGCACCAAUUUGAAGAGCAGCGAACGGGUGAGUAACGCGUGGGGAAUCUGCCUUUGAGCGGGGGACAACAUUUGGAAACGAAUGCUAAUACCGCAUAAUAACUUUAAACAUAAGUUUUAAGUUUGAAAGAUGCAAUUGCAUCACUCAAAGAUGAUCCCGCGUUGUAUUAGCUAGUUGGUGAGGUAAAGGCUCACCAAGGCGAUGAUACAUAGCCGACCUGAGAGGGUGAUCGGCCACAUUGGGACUGGGACACGGCCCAAACUCCUACGGGAGGCAGCAGUAGGGAAUCUUCGGCAAUGGACGAAAGUCUGACCGAGCAACGCCGCGUGAGUGAAGAAGGUUUUCGGAUCGUAAAACUCUGUUGGUAGAGAAGAACGUUGGUGAGAGUGGAAAGCUCAUCAAGUGACGGUAACUACCCAGAAAGGGACGGCUAACUACGUG